This 253-nucleotide ribosomal RNA is filed under the name uncultured bacterium. RNAcentral's name for it is "partial 16S ribosomal RNA". It matches the Rfam family "Bacterial small subunit ribosomal RNA", at positions 524 to 776 of the family's 1533-position model. The record is from RNAcentral.
UACGGGGGGGGCAAGCGUUGUUCGGAAUUACUGGGCGUAAAGGGCUCGUAGGCGGCCAACUAAGUCGGACGUGAAAUCCCCAGGCUCAACCUGGGAACUGCGUCCGAUACUGGAUGGCUUGAAUCCGGGAGAGGGAUGCAGAAUUCCUGGUGUAGCGGUGAAAUGCGCAGAUAUCAGGAAGAACACCCGUGGCGAAAGCGGCUCUCUGGAACGGUACUGACGCUGAGACGCGAAAGCGUGGGGAGCGAACAGG